AGCCGGGACGACAAAAAACAUGCAAAAAGACCAAAAUACUUUUCAAGUUCGAAGUUGAUGAUCAUCUGGGAAGCGGGGGUAUGUGGCAAAGAAAAGUCAAAAAGAUCUUGGAUGUUUGGUAGUGGGAAAAGCGCUGUCAAGGUCACCUUACAAUUAAAGAUACCAGAGACCUGUGUCAAAAGUUUCUCACUAACGAGAAUAAAGAAAAUUAAUUAGAUAAUUCCGAUGGCUGCAAGGAUUAGGUGGUGAUGUCAUAAUGGUGCUGCAAAGGUUAAGUGAAUAACCCUAAUGGUUUAGUAAGAGUUGGUGAACACUUGUUGGUAACUAUGACUGUAAAAAAAUGUGUCAAGUU
Molecule: long non-coding RNA, 352 nt
Filed under: Brassica napus (rape)
Lineage: Eukaryota; Viridiplantae; Streptophyta; Magnoliopsida; Brassicales; Brassicaceae
Description: long non-coding RNA (BNAP_LNC017501)
Source: RNAcentral